GGACUUGAGGGAGAUCUGGCUGCUUUUUCUGUCACCCCAAUGACCAUGAGGGUUGAUCUGGCUAAUCUGACUGUCCCUUUCUCCUUAUCACUCCCUGUGUGUCUCCUGAAGCUGUGUGCCUGGCCAGAGAAUGACCUUCCUCAAAUAGAAGUGACAGUUCUUUGUUUGAGAUAUGUGAGUAACUGUGGUCCCUCGCUACAACCUCCAAACAGCUUUGUCAGAUCAUUUUGGUUUUGGCCUUAUGAUACAGACCAUGCAUAUCAAAAUAGAAUGCUUGAUGUGAGAUACCACUCUCACUU
Molecule: small nuclear RNA, 299 nt
Filed under: Sorex araneus (European shrew)
Lineage: Eukaryota; Metazoa; Chordata; Mammalia; Eulipotyphla; Soricidae
Description: 7SK RNA (ENSSARG00000020282.1)
Rfam family: 7SK RNA
About the family: 7SK was discovered as an abundant small nuclear RNA in the mid-70s but a possible function has only recently been suggested. Two independent studies have found that 7SK RNA binds the CDK9/cyclin T complex (known as elongation factor P-TEFb).
Source: RNAcentral